RNAcentral lists this RNase P RNA (367 nucleotides) under Candidatus Alcyoniella australis. RNAcentral's name for it is "RNase P RNA component class A". It matches the Rfam family "Bacterial RNase P class A". Rfam says of the family: Ribonuclease P (RNase P) is a ubiquitous endoribonuclease, found in archaea, bacteria and eukarya as well as chloroplasts and mitochondria. Its best characterised activity is the generation of mature 5'-ends of tRNAs by cleaving the 5'-leader elements of precursor-tRNAs. Cellular RNase Ps are ribonucleoproteins. The record is from RNAcentral. Lineage: Bacteria; Candidatus Lernaellota; Candidatus Lernaellaia; Candidatus Lernaellales; Candidatus Alcyoniellaceae.
GACGGGGGCUGGACGGUCGCCGGCGGACUAGUGCCGCGGGAGGAAAGUCCGGGCUCCACAGGGCAGGGUGCUGGGUAACGCCCAGGGGGAGCAAUCCCACGGAAAGUGCCACAGAAAUUACACAGCCUAAGACCUUUCGGGGUCCGGCAAUGGUGAAAUGGUGCGGUAAGAGCGCACCCACGACAGCCGGGUAACCGGCGGUGCGGCAAACCCCACCCGGAGCGAGGUCAAAUAGGGGAACGUGAGGCGGCCCGUCUCGAUGUUCCCGGGUAGACCGCUUGAGGGUCCCAGUAAUGGGCCCCCUAGAUGAAUGGCCGUCACCUGCCUUUGGCAGGAACAGAACCCGGCUUACAGGCCCCCGUCGCCU